UCCUUUACAGCUAUCCCUACUGCAUUCCCUACAGUUGACAGGAAGGUUUCUUCUGAACAUUUUGGAUAGGGGUCUGGAAUACAUGUAAACCCCCGAACAGCCAGAUAUCUCAACUGGGGAUUCAUUACCUGCUCCCCGUAUCUAGAUUCCAGCUUCCCACUCAACUAUCUGUGCAUGUGCACACAGGACUUGGGAAAAUUCCCCUCUACAACUACAAAAACAAGUCACGUGUGUUUUCUGUAAACUACUGACUGGGAGUAAGUGAAGGCGGAAGACUCUGGAGGGAAACUGGAAACAAUGUAACUGAGUUUCAGGACUAUGUAGAGAGAUUUCUUCUGAGAGAGGAGAAGGGAGAGAGGGGAGAGGGGAGAGGAGACAGAUCUGGGAUGGAAGUCGUUUGGGGCAUAGUUUUGUGUACUGUGUACUCAGAAGUUGAUUUCUUUUUCUUUUUUCUCAAUUUGCCAAGCUGUAACUGUUUAUUAACUGACCAGAUUAUAAAAAACACCAUGGGUGACACCUUACUUCAUCUGUCUAAUAAGCCUGUUUAUCUGGUCUUCCCUGUUGCCAUUUUCUACAAAGAGAGUUGUCUUUUUCUUCUUUCCACCUCAUGGGGAAGAUAAUUUGAAGGGUCACAGGAAGUUAUUUGCAAUCAAGGAAUUAUCUGUCAAGGCAAUCCGCUUUUCAUUGAUUUUGCCAUAGCCUUGCUUGUAGACGAGCGCAUUUACUGACUUUAGGUUGGAGUGUUCCCAUGCAAUGUACCAUCCCACAAUCCUCAGCGUGUCGAUUGGAGCCUUGUCGAGCCUAACAACGGUGCCAUUGAGGAUCUGCCCAAGACAAGCAGCUGCAACACCUCACGCACCUUUGGUCUUACUCCACUGAUACCUCGGAUUCUGAUGACGAAUGCCAAUUUUGGUUCUGCUGGCACAUAGACGCUCCUAUCUCUCUUGCCAUCCUAGCCAUGGAAUCUCAGUCCGGUACAUCUGCCUGCCCUCCUCGUGAGAGUGCUUUGCCUUCUCAUGGAUGAGCUUCCUCCUUGCCUCUCGCAGUCUUCAGGGCAAACUUCUUCUUCAGACGCUUCACCUUCAACUCUGCGAAAUUCCUUCACUUUUUCUCAAGGGUUUUUAGGCACACCUUCGUUUUCUUCUCUGGCACAGCCUCCAUGGUUCCACCCGGAAAAAGAUCAGAAGCUGAUUUCUAUGCCCAGGCAUCUGGUUGCAGUCCAGGUAGUCUCAACGUAAUGUAAAAGUUGUUUUCUGCCACCUAUGAUUGGUUGAUAAAGAGUUGAUCAGCCAGUUAACUACAACAGGGCAGGACUUCUGAUCUCAGUCCCAAGAAACCAGGAUGAGGAGGAGGAGAAGAGGUGAAGAGACCAUGUGCAUGGGCCAGGAGGAUUAAACUUGAGAUUUUUUCUUUUUUUCUUUUUCUUUUUAUCUUUUAUUAGAUAUAUUUCUUUACUUAUAUUUCAAAUGUUAUUCCCUUUCCCGGUUUCCUGUCCAUAAGCCCUAUCCUCUCCCCCUCCCCCAUAUGGGUAUUCCCCGCAUCCAUCCCCCUUACUGCCCCUCAACAUAUUCCUCUGUACGGGGGGUCCAACCUUGGCAGGACCAAGGGCUUCCCCUUCCACUGGUGCCCCAACAAGGCUAUUCUCUGCUACGUAUGCAGUUGGAGCCCUGGGUCAGUCCAUGUAUAGUCUUGCAGUAGUGGUUUAAUCCCUGGAAGCUCUGGUUGGUUGGCGUUGUUGUUUUUAUGGGGUUGCAAGCUCCUUCAACUCUUUCAAACCUUCCUCUAAUUCUCCCCAAGGGGGUCCUGUUCUCAGUUCAGUGGUUUGCUGCUAGCACUGACCUCUGUAUUGGAUGUGCUCUGGAUGUGUCUCUCAGAAGAGAUCUCUAUCCGUCCCUUUCAGCAUGCACUUUUUAGCUUCACCAAUCUUAUCUAGUUUUGGUGGCUGUAUAUAUAUGGGCCACAUGUGGGGCAGGCUCUGAAUGGCCCUUCCUUGAGUCACUGCUCUAAACUUUGCUUCUAUAUCCCCGCCUAUGGAUAUUUUUCCCCCUUUUAAGCAUCCGCAUUUUAGUCAUCCUUCUUGAGCUUCCUGUGGUCUGUGGAUUGCAUCUUAUUUAGUUCCAGCUUUUGGGCUAAUAUCCAUUUAUCAAUGAGUGCAUACCAAGUGUGUUUUUCUGUGAUUGGGUUACCUCACUCAGGAUGAUAUUUUCUAGUUCAUUCCAUUUGCUUAUGAAUUUCAUGAAGUCAUUGUUUUUGGUAGCUGAGUAGUACUCCAUUGUGUAGAUGUACCACAUUUUUUGAAUCCAUUCCUCUGUUGAAGGGCAUCUGGCUUCUUUCCAGCUUCUGGAUAUUAUAAAUAAGGCUGCUAUGAACAUAGUGGAGCACGUGACUUUUUUAUAUGUUGGGGCAUCUUUUGGGUAUAUGCCCCAGAGAGGUAUAGCUGGGUCCUCAGGUAGUGGAAUGUCCAAUUUUCUGAGGAACCUCCAGACUGAUUUCCAGAAUGGUUGUACCAGUUUGCAAUUCCACCAACAAUGGAGGAGUGUUCCUCUUUCUCCACAUCCUCGCCAGCAUCUGCUGUCACCUGAGUUUUUGAUCUUAGCCAUUCUCACUGGUGUGAGGUGGAAUCUCAGGGUUGUUUUGAUUUGCAUUUCCCUGAUGACUAAGAAUGUUGAAAAUUUCUUUAGGUGCUUUUUGGCCAUUCGAUAAUCCUCAGCUGAGAAUGUUUUGUUUAGCUCUGUACCCCAUUUUUAGUAGGAUUAUUUGGCUUUCUGGAGUCUAACUUCUUGAGUUCUUUGUAUAUUUUAGAUAUUAGCCCUCUAUCAUAUGUAGGAUUGGUAAAGAUCUUUUCCCAGUCUGUUGGUUGCCAUUUUGUCCUAAUGACAGUGUCUUUGCCUUACAGAAGCUUUGCAGUUUUAUGAAAUCCCGUUUGUUGAUUCUUGUUCUUAGAGGAUAAGCCAUUGGUGUUUUGUUCAGGAAAAUUUCCCCAGUAACCAUGUAUUUGAGACUCUUCCCCACUUUUUCUUCUAUUAGUUUGAGUGUAUCUGGUUUGAUGUGGAGGUCCUUGAUCCACUUGGACUUUAAGCUUUGUACAGGGUGAUAAGAAUGGAUUGAUUUGCAUUCUUCUACAUGCUGACCUCCAGUUGAACCAGCACCAUUUGUUGAAAAUGCUAUCUUUCUUCCAUUGGAUGGUUUUAGCUCCUUUGUCAAAGAUCAAGUGACCAUAGGUAUGAGGGUUCAUUUCUGGUUCUUCAGUUCUGUUCCACUGAUCUAUCUGCCUGUCUCUGUACCAAUAGCAUACAUGCUCUGUCUGUCCUUGCCUUCUCCAGAAAACUCACCUUGGCACAAAUUGUGUAGAUGGGGGAGGUUCUGCAAUUGGACUUCAUGCCUGAGACCAUUAACCUAACAACGAUGCUCUGAUUCUGGAACACCAGACAGCAAUGCUGGAAACAGGGCCAGUAGGCAUAGUGAGGGUGGUGUCAUUGUCACCGCACUUCGUCAAGGGGUUAUACAUCUGGUCUCCACAUCUGUUGCUGGCUGGCAAAACAGUAGACCAGUAUCUGGGAAGAGGGCAGCUGGAUGAUCUACACGGGCCAGCUUAGGACCCCCAUCCAUAGCCAUUCUCUUCCUCCUCACUGUGUGGUCCUUAUCACCUGUGGCUCCUGCUGAGUGCAGGAGGGCAGAAACCAGGGCUGCAGCCCAGACAGAGAAUGGAAGAAAGGAGGAUGUGUAAGGUGCAGCCAGGAUGGAGGCCACAAGACGGUGCCACUGAGUCAUCUAUUUGAGGCAGACAGCUCAUGGUAGGUUUGAGAUUGACCCUGAGUGGUGGCGCAGGUCUGGGAUGACCUGUGAGGAAGUGCAGGGAAGGCUCUUGGGUGAUUUUAAAAGUCACAGACACGGGGCUUGCAACGCAGUUGGGAGGCUAGCAAGGAUGUUUGACCGGGGUUAGGGUGCAGGUGUGGGGCUGAGAAUGCAGCUGGUAAGAAAGACAUGUUUGAGGUUUAGUGGUAAAGACUGAUGCUAUAACAUCUAUGUUCCCUUGGGCUACUAUCUCUUUACCUAAGACCCUAGCCACCAUGGUCUGUCUCUGCUGCAGCACUGUAGGAGGUGGAAGGGGAGCAGGAGCCUCAGUCAUAAAGACUCUGGAAACUUCGGCUGGUUUUAUACAAGUGAUCUCAUAGGGGUGACUCAGGAAGGGUAAUGGUGGGUGGGGGAAAACCCAUAAAAAAUUCAGGAGCCUGCGCCAAGAUCUCUCAGCAUGAAGAUUCUGUAGCACCGCUUAACGUUCUAACUCAAGCAAACGUCUCUUGGAGAGCAAGGGAGGAAAAUCCUAUUGCAAGAGAUAUCCAUCCCCUGUGUGCAGUCUGCCAACCAAAAACACUCUGCGGUUUCUAGGCUCCUCAAACUCCACACCUUGGAAAUUUUAAGGGCUCACCAUGCCCUCAACCUGCCCAACCCUAAAUUCUGUAGUUUAAAGUCCUUUAGUUAUUUAGUGAAGAGCAUGAAGUUGGAAUCCAAAGAAGAGGGUCUUCAGAAUCCAUGCUAGUGAGAAUGAAAAGAAGGAUAUAGUUUUAGGGACGACCCCUGAGACUCACAAAAUAGGCGGAAAGACAGCACUCUUGUUGGCUUGUUGGUUCGCUUGCCGAGGGGGGGGGUCCCUUGUGCAAAGAAACACUCUGUAAUGUGUUGUACUGUUAUUUUGUCAUCUCCAUCUUGAUUGCGUAUGAUGAAAAUGUAGUUUAGACAUGAAUAGUGUAGUAUUGUUCCUCUUUGUCUCCCCGUGGGUUGUAGUACAACCUGUGGAGGCCGAAGCAAGGCGGCAGAGCUUCCGAGCCAGGGUGCCCAAACUUCUGAUGCUUCUGGAAGAAGGAUCAUCCCGGGCCACACUUUCAAUCCAGGAACUCUGACAGAAGGUGAUGAGAGCGAGGAGGUCUGUAUUGAAAAGCUUCCACACAGCAAUUCUCAUUAUUGGGUAGUUCUAUGUGGAAGGUGUUUCAAAACCCUCAAGCAGGUCCCGAGCUUUAGACCAUACCUAAACAGUAAAAGGUGAGUUUAAAAAACAAUUAUUACCAAGGUAAACAGGGAAACACAAAUCCAGUGGGAAUUUUGACUCGGUGUUUGAGAAGCAAAUGAAUGUACCAGGUUCUCAGUGAGUCCCCAAGCAGCUCCUCAGAGAUUUUGGUUCUAUUUUUAGUCUGGCUGUGCUUCAGCAGGUAGGUGGUCCCAAGUAGCAAGCAUGUGAAUUUGGCAUGGAUGUGAGACCAAUACAAUUAUCUCUGAACGACAGGACCUGUAAGUCUAGUAGAGUCACAGUUGUAGCCAUGUUUCUUAAUGCUGCUGCCCACUUCCUUAACAAUUUCCUCAUAGCUCUUCUGACUGUAGGGUGGCCCAGUGGGAUCCAUUUUGUUCACACUAACAAUUAGCUGUUUCACACCCACGGUGUAAGCCAGAAGAGCAUGCUCACGGGUCUGCCGGUUCUUGGACAUACCAGUUUCAAAUUCAUCGACACCAGCAGCAGCAAUCAGGGUGGCACAGUUGGCAUGAGAUGUGCCUGUAAUCAUGUUUUUGGAGAAGUCUUUGUGUCCUGGGGUAUCAAAAGUAUUUGCUGGUCUCAAGUUUCCACAGGGAGAUGCCAGUAGUGAUACCAUGCUCACGGUCAGCUUUCAGUUUGUCCAAGACCCAGGUGUACUUGAAGGGACUUUUCCCAUUUCAGCAGCCUUCUUUUCAAACUUUUUGAUGGUUCAUUUGUCAAUUCUGCCACAUUUGUAGUGGACUGGUUGUGGUGGACUUGCAUGAAUCUACAUGUCCAAAUUAGGACAAUGUUGGCCAUUUCCUUAUUUAUUUAUUUAUUUAUUUAUUUAUUUAUUUAAUUAAUUAUUUACUACAUAUAAGUACACUGUGGCUGUCUUAAGGCACACCAGAGAGGGCAUCAGAUCCCAUAUAGAUGGCUGUGAGCCACCAUGUGGUUGCUGGGAAUUGAACUCAGGACCUCUGGAAAAGCAGAGCCAUCUCUGAGCCAUCACUCCAGCCCCCAUUUUGGCUUUCAAUCAUGGGUGGUUUUCACACCUGUGCUGUGACAGCAAACGUACAAAAGCAGGCAGAAAGUUUUAAGAGAUGGUCUUAGUUGUUUUGCCAGAAAGAUGUAAUAAAGUUAGAAUCAGAAUAGAAUGUGCCCACUCCUCAUACAAUAUUAAGUAAAGGCAGCAUAAUAAGCAAUUGUAAAAUAAGCUUUCACAAUUACACUAAAAAGAGAAAUAGACUUCCGAAAAAUUUGUGUUCAAGGAAAAUCGUUCAUUCUAGGUCAGAUCCCAGGAUCACGCCACAGGUGUGCACUGUGGUAAUGCAGGUCCAUGUGCAGCUGUGGCCUUGAACUUAUAAUCACAGAACUGUGAGGUCAGAGGAUGACACACUGCUUUGGACUUCAUGUCAGCAUCCUUCUGUAACUCUUCUUUUGUGUAGCAUUUUAUCUAUGAGUUCACAAGGAGUUAACAAGCUUUGAGCCUUUGACCUGGUCACCGGGCCUCUGCUGGCACCUUAUAAACCCUUUACUUAAUUCCCCUUGGCAAACCAGCUGUGUGCUAAUCACCAGAAGACUGGGGCCAGGAGUGGGGAGAAGACAAGAGAGAGCAAUGGGGUAAAAUGCAAUAAAAUGACACCAUUGAGUUGCUUGUUCUGUACAAUGAAUGUGUGAUAAUAUUUUAAAAGGAAAGAAUAAAAUAAGCAUUGCUUCGUGUCCAUGUUUUCACUGUCUGCAGUGAGGUGCUGCCUGAACACUGGUUCCACACUUUUAUUUUUCCUUUUCCUCUUCUUCCUCCCCUGCUUCCCCUUCUGCUUCUUCUUUUUUUUUUAAGAUUUUAAAUUUAUUUUAUGUAUAUUGGUGCUUUGCUUGAAUGCAGGUAAAUUCACUAUGUGUGUGUGCUUGGUGCCCCAGCAGUGCAAAAGAGGUCAUUGAAUCCCCCGGGGCUGGGGUUACAGAUGGUGGUGCCAGAUACCAUGUGGGUGCUGGGAGUUGAAUCUAGGUCUUCUGGAAGAGGAUCCAUCGAAGCCAUAUACCCAGCCCCACAUUCUUAUCUUUAUUUGUGACACUGGGCAUUGAACCUAGGGCCUCAUGAACGCUCUCUCACUGAGCUGUAUUCUCAGCUCCAUUCCACUCUGUUUACAAGAGUGUGCAGUGGUCAGAUGGAGAGGUAAACGUGUGCAGUACAGUGGUUUGUUGUUCUGUGUUGUAGCAAUGCUAUCUAUCUUCCCCCAGGACCAGUGACACAGGCUACAUGCAAUCAGUCUCAGAUUUUCUGCCCUGGGCAUCUGGCCACAUAUCUGUUGUGAAUGUAGAUCAGCUGGACCACAGCCAGCCACCCAUGAGAACUGGAACACCUGGAAAGGCUCCAUCUGAUGCUGCACCCUACUGAUGGGAAGAAGUGACUGCUCUCUUUUCUGAUGCAGUCCUCCUGAGAGACUGAAACUGUGUCAGGUCACAACCAGGUACCGUCUCAGUGCUCUCACAAUGCUGGAACGCUCAAUUAAAAAAAUUAUUAGUACGGUCUGGUGAAGAAGCACAGGCUGGCUUUGAACGGGCAUCCUUCUGCCUCAGACUCCUUACGGUUCAGAUUAAAGGAGUGAGAAAGUCUUGACCAACAAGACAGCAGACAAAGAUUUAUAUGUAGGAUGUAUAAAGAACUGCAGAAAAUUAAACAUCCCCCCACAAACCAAAACAAUACAAAACAUGCAUGGUAUGCACUCACUUGAAAGACCCCCUUCCAGAAAGGGAAUUAUACAAGCCCAGCCCUAGGCCCUCAAACAUAGAAAUGAAAGAUAAGUUUUAAUACACAGGCUUGGAACUAAAAUAAGCCUUAUGAGAAAGUUCAAGAAGUUCAAAUGUGUCCCAAGACUUGUGGGACAAGCUGACCCAACAUUUAGACAAAAUAGCCCAGAAAAGAAAACAAAAUGCAGAAACCAGACUAAAAUAUGGGCAUUGCUCCAUGGGCCACCUGGCAGGGAAAAAGAAACAGUCCCUGACCCCCCGGGAGACCCGACCACCAUGUACUUUUUGCUAACUCACUGUUAUGAUUAUAGCCAAAAUAGGUAAUGUACACGUAUGCCUCAUUUACUCCACCAAUCACAUCCCUGUAACCAUGCAUCUGCUUCUGUAAGCCUGCUUCUGCUCCCCAAUACACUAUAAAAACCCGUCCCUGGUUCUGCUAGGCGUGCCAGUCUUCCAAAUUGACUGGGACGCCCACAGAUACCUGUGCUUCCUGAUCAAUAAAAAUCCUCUUGCAGAUUGCA
Non-coding RNA from Rattus norvegicus (Norway rat), 8277 nucleotides. NCBI's taxonomy places the organism in Eukaryota, Metazoa, Chordata, Mammalia, Rodentia, Muridae. The record is from RefSeq and is a predicted model, not a curated record.